UUCUCUUUUUUCUUAUUUAUCAUGGUUUGUAAUGAAUUUUCUGAUGUGAGCUUUGGUUUUGAGGCUGGCAUAUUGAGUUCAGGGCACAAGAGGAUGGUUCUUUUUCAAUCAGGGCACAGCUGUUGGCUUGCUCCACUUCUGGCUUGCUGUCAUUGUUUUGAGUGCCUCAGCCGAUUUGUGGUUUCUUGUGUGGCAAUUUCCCAAAUGUUUUCAGGGUCUGAGUUGGCUUUGCCUUCUUCCUUCCCAAAUUUUGUAUUCUGAUGCAAUGUAAAGAAGAGUUUGUACAGAAUAGCCAUUAUGAAAGAAAAAACACAACAAAUAGGCGUUUGAAGCUUAGAAAUCUACAGGUAACAUGACCAAGGUGAGUUUUUGUGUUUAUGAAAAUAAAAUGGAACACUUUGGCUGAGGUGACAGAUAUUAAUUGCCUCCAAACUGAGUUUCACUGUGAUUUUCAGGUUAAUUCAGUCAGAAUUCCACAGGCAGUCAGCUGGAGGGGUGGAUGAAUCCGGGAACAGCCGGUUUCCUAGCGACUAAAUCAAGCCCUAUAUCAUUAUGGAUUCUUGCAUUUUUUGGCUUUUUUCUCUUUUUUCUUAUUUAUCAUGGUUUGUAAUGAAUUUUCUGAUGUGAGCUUUGGUUUUGAGGCUGGCAUAUUGAGUUCAGGGCACAAGAGGAAGGUUCUUUUUCAAUCAGGGCACAGCUGUUGGCUUGCUCCACUUCUGGCUUGCUGUCAUUGUUUUGGGUGCCUCAGCUGAUUUGUGGUUUCUUGUGUGGCAAUUUCCUAAAUGUUUUCUGGGUCUGAGUUGGUUUUGCCUUCUUCCUUCCCAAAUUUUGUAUUCUGAUGCAAUACAAGCAAGAUUUUGGACAGAGUAGCCAUUAUGAAAGAAAAAAAAAAAACACAGCAAAUUGACCUUUCAGGAUUAGAAAUCCAUAGGCAACACAACCAAGAUGAGAUUCUGUGUUUUGGAAAAUGACAUGGAACGCUUCUGCUGAGGUGACAGAUUCUAAUUCCCUCCAAAUGGAGUGUGAGAGCGAUCUUGAGGUGAAUUCAAUCAGAAUUCCAAAGUCAGUCUGUGGAAGGGGGGGAUGAAUCUGGAAACAGCCAGUUUCUUUGUGUCUAAAUCCUGCCAAAUAUCACAAAGGACUCUUGCAUUUCUUUGGCUUUUUCACAUUUCCCUUAUUUAUCAUGGUUUGUAAUGAAUUUUCUGAUGUGAGCUUUGGUUUUGAGGCUGGCAUAUUGAGUUCAGGGCACAAGAGGAAGGUUCUUUUUCAAUCAGGGCACAGCUGUUGGCUUGCUCCACUUCUGGCUUGCUGUCAUUGUUUUGGGUGCCUCAGCUGAUUUGUGGUUUCUUGUGUGGCAAUUUCCUAAAUGUUUUCUGGGUCUGAGUUGGUUUUGCCUUCUUCCUUCCCAAAUUUUGUAUUCUGAUGCAAUACAAGCAAGAUUUUGGACAGAGUAGCCAUUAUGAAAGAAAAAAAAAAAAAACACAGCAAAUUGACCUUUCAGGAUUAGAAAUCCAUAGGCAACACAACCAAGGUGAGAUUCUGUGUUUUGGAAAAUGACAUGGAACGCUUCUGCUGAGGGGACAGAUUCUAAUUCCCUCCAAAUGGAGUGUGAGAGCGAUCUUGAGGUGAAUUCAAUCAGAAUUCCAAAGUCAGUCUGUGGAAGGGGGGGAUGAAUCUGGAAACAGCCAGUUUCUUUGUGUCUAAAUCCUGCCAAAUAUCACAAAGGACUCUUGCAUUUCUUUGGCUUUUUCACAUUUCCCUUAUUUAUCAUGGUUUGUAAUGAAUUUUCUGAUGUGAGCUUUGGUUUUGAGGCUGGCAUAUUGAGUUCAGGGCACAAGAGGAAGGUUCUUUUUCAAUCAGGGCACAGCUGUUGGCUUGCUCCACUUCUGGCUUGCUGUCAUUGUUUUGGGUGCCUCAGCUGAUUUGUGGUUUCUUGUGUGGCAAUUUCCUAAAUGUUUUCUGGGUCUGAGUUGGUUUUGCCUUCUUCCUUCCCAAAUUUUGUAUUCUGAUGCAAUACAAGCAAGAUUUUGGACAGAGUAGCCAUUAUGAAAGAAAAAAAAAAACACAGCAAAUUGACCAUUCAGGAUUAGAAAUCCAUAGGCAACACAACCAAGAUGAGAUUCUGUGUUUUGGAAAAUGACAUGGAACGCUUCUGCUGAGGUGACAGAUUCUAAUUCCCUCCAAAUGGAGUGUGAGAGCGAUCUUGAGGUGAAUUCAAUCAGAAUUCCAAAGUCAGUCUGUGGAAGGGGGGGAUGAAUCUGGAAACAGCCAGUUUCUUUGUGUCUAAAUCCUGCCAAAUAUCACAAAGGACUCUUGCAUUUCUUUGGCUUUUUCACAUUUCCCUUAUUUAUCAUGGUUUGUAAUGAAUUUUCUGAUGUGAGCUUUGGUUUUGAGGCUGGCAUAUUGAGUUCAGGGCACAAGAGGAAGGUUCUUUUUCAAUCAGGGCACAGCUGUUGGCUUGCUCCACUUCUGGCUUGCUGUCAUUGUUUUGGGUGCCUCAGCCGAUUUGUGGUUUCUUGAGUGCCAAUUUCCUAAAUGUUUUCUGGGUCUGAGUCGGUUUUGCCUUCUUAUUCCCAAAUUUUGUAUUCUGAUGCAAUACAAGCAAGAUUUUGGAGAGUAGCCAUUAUGAAAGAAAAAAAAAAAACACAGCGCAUUGCCCUUUCAGGAUUAGAAAUCUACAGGCAACACGACCAAGAUGAGUUUCUGUGUUUUGGAAAAUGACAUAGAACGCUUCUGCUGAGGGGACAGAUUCUAAUUCCCUCCAAAUGGAGUGUGAGAGCGAUUUUGAGGUGAAUUCAAUCAGAAUUCCAAAGUCAGUCUGUGGAAGGGGGGGAUGAAUCUGGAAACAGCCAGUUUCUUUGUGUCUAAAUCCAGCCAAAUAUCACAAAGGACUCUUGCAUUUCUUUGGCUUUUUCACAUUUCCCUUAUUUAUCAUGGUUUGUAAUGAAUUUUCUGAUGUGAGCUUUGGUUUUGAGGCUGCAAUAUAGAGUUCAGGGCACCUGAGGAAUGGUCUUUUUCAAACAGGGCACAGCUGUUGGUGUGCUCCAAUUCUGGCUAUUGUCUUUGUUUUGGGUGCCUCAGCUGAAAUUUGGUUUCUUGAGUUUCACUGCGAUUGUCAGGUUAAUUCAGUCAGAAUUCCACAGGCAGUCAGCUUUAGUGGUGGAUGAAUCUGGGAACAGCCGGUUUCCUUGCAACUAAAUCAAACCCAAUAUCAUUAUGGAUUCUUGCAUUUUUUUGGCUUUUUUCUCUUUUUUCUUAUUUAUCAUGGUUUGUAAUGAAUUUUCUGAUGUGAGCUUUGGUUUUGAGGCUGGCAUAUUGAGUUCAGGGCACAAGAGGAAGGUUGUUUUUCAAUCAGGGCACAGCUGUUGGCUUGCUCCACUUCUGGCUUGCUGUCAUUGUUUUGAGUGCCUCAGCCGAUUUGUGGUUUCUUGUGUGGCAAUUUCCCAAAUGUUUUCAGGGUCUGAGUUGGCUUUGCCUUCUUCCUUCCCAAAUUUUGUAUUCUGAUGCAAUGCAAAGAAGAGUUUGUACAGAAUAGCCAUUAUGAAAGAAAAAACACAACAAAUAGGCGUUUGAAGCUUAGAAAUCUACAGGUAACAUGACCAAGGUGAGUUUUUGUGUUUAUGAAAAUAAAAUGGAACACUUUGGCUGAGGUGACAGAUAUUAAUUGCCUCCAAACUGAGUUUCACUGUGAUUUUCAGGUUAAUUCAGUCAGAAUUCCACAGGCAGUCAGCUGGAGGGGUAGAUGAAUCCAGGAACAGCCGGUUUCCUAGCGACUAAAUCAAGCCCUAUAUCAUUAUGGAUUCUUGCAUUUCUUUGGCUUUUUUCUCUUUUUUCUUAUUUAUCUUGGCUUGUAAUGAAUUUUCUGAUGUGAGCUUUGGUUUUGAGGCUGGCAUAUUGAGUUCAGGGCACAAGAGGAAGGUUCUUUUUCAAUCAGGGCACAGCUGUUGGCUUGCUCCACUUCUGGCAUCCUGACAUUUUUUUGGGUGCCUCAGCUGAUUUGUGAUUUCUUGAGCGGCAAUUUCCUAAAUGUUUUCUGGGUCUGAGUUGGUUUUGCCUUCUUCCUUCCCAAAUUUUGUAUUCUGACACAAUACAAACAAGAGUUUGGCCAGUGCAGCCAUUAUGAAAUAAAAAACACUACACAUAGGUGUUUGAAGCUUAGAAAUCUACAGAUAACACGACCAAGGUGAGUUUUUGUGUUAUGGAAAAUAAAAUGGAACACUUUGGCUGAAGUGACAGAUAUUAAUUGCCUCCAAACUGAGUUUCACUGCGAUUUUCAGGUGAAUUCAGUCAGAAUUCCACAGGCAGUCAGCUGGAGGGGUGGAUGAAUCCGGGCACAGCCCGUUUCCUUGCGACUAAAUCCAGCUCAAUAUCAUUAUGGAUUCUUGCAUUUCUUGGCUUUUUUCUCAUUUUUCUUAUGUAUCGUGGUUUGUAAUGAAUUUCCUGAUGUCAGCUUUGGUUUUGAGGCUGGAAUAUGGAGUUCAGGGUCCCGGAAGAAUGGCCUUUUUCAAUCAGGACUCAGCUGAUUGCCUCCUCCAAUUCUGGCUUGCUGUCAUGGUUUUGGGUGCCUCAGCUGACUUUUGGUUUCUUGAGUGGCAAUUUCCUAAAUGUUUUCUGUGUCUGAGUUGGCUUUGCCUUCUACCUUCCCAAAUUUUGUAUGUGAUGCAAUACAAGGAAGAUUUUGGACAGAGUAGCCAUUAUAAAAUAAAAAACACAACAAAUAGGCGUUUGAAGCUUGGAAAUCUAUAGGUAACAUGACCAAAGUGAGUUUUUUUGUUUUGGAAAAUAAAAUGGAACACUUUGGCUGAGGUGACAGAUAUUAAUUGUCUCCAAACCGAA
This is a non-coding RNA of Oryctolagus cuniculus (rabbit), 4836 nucleotides long. NCBI's taxonomy places the organism in Eukaryota, Metazoa, Chordata, Mammalia, Lagomorpha, Leporidae. The record is from RefSeq and is a predicted model, not a curated record.